GAGAGAGGACGGCGCGGGCCCCUAGCACCCCCGGACUCCCGGCGGAAAGCCUCGCGAAACGCAGCAUCCGGAUGCAGACAGCCAUGGCUCACUAUGCCGGUGUCCCAGACGGAGGAAACUUUUAAAGGUUGAGAGCCAGAGACCAAGGGAGCCGGCGCAAAGUGCCUGUCCCCAAGGCAAGCCAGCUGGGGUAUAGGGCCCGCCGGGACUGGAGAGGACGCCGGGACAAAGAGUGCUGGGGGUGAGCGAGUCCCCGCCGAGGCCAGAUGUCAGCUUCAGAAGGGAGGACAGUUAGUACCCUCAUCUCCCACGAGGCAGCCACCCAUCCCUCCCCCAGGGCCGUUGCCGUCACUCGCCCGCCUGUACAGUAAGGUGCCCUCAAGGAUUGCAAUUGGUGUCUCCCAGUCCCUCAUCUGUUUGCCCCAGCACAGUUCCUGUGAGCUGUCCCAGGUGUAAAUGGAAAACAAUCUCACUCUCUUUCCAGCCCCUCUUUAUGGUACCUUGAGGCCCGGGUGUGGCUGGCUACAGGACAGAGAGAAAGUGACAGCUCAUCUCUGGUCCUGUCUGGGAAAGGUGGCACUGGGCACCAGAGUGGCACAUGUGCCAGGUCCACACUGUCUUGAGCCUUGACCCUUCCUCCAGAGAAGGAGGAGAGCAAUGGGGGAAAGUUCCUGGCAGGGUGACCUCCCUUCUCAUGACCCAGAGGCAGUGAUGAAAGCUGGGCCAGACAGGAGGAGCAGCUAAGAGUGGAGCCUGGCCUGAGAGGACUUUUGCCCUUAUCUGGGAACUUUGGCUCUAUUGAGGUCAUGAGGAGACUAUGCAGCUCUUCUUCAUGAUCUUGAGAGUGACCUCAGAUCCCCCUGAAACCCUGGCUCCUGGGGAGGGUCUCCACACUUCAAAUUGUGUAGGGAUGGGGCAGGAAGGAAGACAGAGGAGCAGAUAGAUUAUGAGGAGCUAGGCUUGCAAGGGCACACCUUCUUGAUGAGACUAACUCACUGACUGAUAGCCCAGCCCAUGCAUGUGGAGCACUGGCAAGUAACGCACUUCUAGGCUGUCAGCCUGACAGCCUGCCAGGUAGGCUCUGCCUCUAGCUUGUGGGGUGACCCUGGGUAAGUCGUUGCCCAUCUCUGGGCCUGUGAAGUGAAAGAUGAAUACAGAUCUGGGAGUCCCUUCCACUUUCCUUGCUAGUUUGAGGGUCAGUCCUGGGGGAAGAGAGUGAUGAAUUCCUCCUUGACUUUGCUCUAGCUUUGGCUUUCCACAUACUGGAUUUUCAUGCCUUCCCAGACACCUGUGCCAUGGAAUCACAACUGCCAGUUUUAUGAUACCUUCCUCAAGCCUGAUUUUUCAAGGAUGUUAUCUCUGGCCCCCUGCAAGGAAAAUUACCCUGCAAGGAAAAGGCAUGCCUUGGUAUGUGUCUCUUUUUUUAAUGGAUGAAGAAACUGACAUCCAGAGAGGUUCAGCUGCUUGCCCAAGGUCAAUGUGGACACGGGGCUUUGGGGAUGCAGAGGAUACCCCAACAAGAUUGCCAGUCCCAACCAAAGAAGCCAACAUGGUCUUCCAGGUAGGUCCCGAGACCCUGUCCUCUCAUCUGAGAUCAGAUAGGGCAAGAGUUCCGUGAAUCCCCCAAUAGGUAGGGACAG
Rhinolophus ferrumequinum (greater horseshoe bat) is the source of this 1640-nucleotide long non-coding RNA. RefSeq lists it as uncharacterized. The record is from RefSeq and is a predicted model, not a curated record. NCBI's taxonomy places the organism in Eukaryota, Metazoa, Chordata, Mammalia, Chiroptera, Rhinolophidae. The transcript has 3 exons.